RNAcentral lists this ribosomal RNA (581 nucleotides) under uncultured bacterium. RNAcentral describes it as "bacterial SSU rRNA". It matches the Rfam family "Bacterial small subunit ribosomal RNA", at positions 822 to 1403 of the family's 1533-position model. The record is from RNAcentral.
GUUAGNCCCUUUCCGGGGCUUAGUGCCGCAGCUAACGCAUUAAGCACUCCGCCUGGGGAGUACGNCCGCAAGGUUGAAACUCAAAGGAAUNGNCGGGGGCCCGCACAAGCGGUGGAGCANGUGGUUUAAUUCGAAGCAACGCGAAGAACCUUACCAGGUCUUGACAUCCCUCUGACCGCUCUAGAGAUAGAGUUUUCCUUCGGGACAGAGGUGACAGGUGGUGCAUGGUUGUCGUCAGCUCGUGUCGUGAGAUGUUGGGUUAAGUCCCGCAACGAGCGCAACCCCUAUUGUUAGUUGCCAUCAUUCAGUUGGGCACUCUAGCGAGACUGCCGGUAAUAAACCGGAGGAAAGUGGGGAUGACGUCAAAUCAUCAUGCCCCUUAUGACCUGGGCUACACACGUGCUACAAUGGCUGGUACAACGAGUCGCAAGCCGGUGACGGCAAGCUAAUCUCUGGAAGCCAGUNUCAGUUCGGAUUGUAGGCUGCAACUCGCCUACAUGAAGUCGGAAUCGCUAGUAAUCGCGGAUCAGCACGCCGCGGUGAAUACGUUNCCGGGCCUUGUACACACCGCCCGUCNCACC